RNAcentral lists this ribosomal RNA (253 nucleotides) under uncultured bacterium. RNAcentral describes it as "partial 16S ribosomal RNA". It matches the Rfam family "Bacterial small subunit ribosomal RNA", at positions 524 to 776 of the family's 1533-position model. The record is from RNAcentral.
UACAGAGGUGGCGAGCGUUAUUCGGAAUUAUUGGGCGUAAAGGGCGCGUAGGCGGCCAAGCAAGUCCCGGGUGAAAUCCCUCGGCUCAACCGAGGAACUGCCUUGGAAACUGUUUGGCUCGAGGCCGGGAGAGGGUAGUGGAAUUCCCAGUGUAGCGGUGAAAUGCGUAGAUACUGGGAGGAACACCGGUGGCGAAGGCGGCUACCUGGACCGGUUCUGACGCUGAGGCGCGAAAGCGUGGGGAGCAAACAGG